GUGGAUCACAGAGGGCGGGUUAGAGAGGGCUGAUCCCAUUGGGCAGUCUCUCGGCUGCGUUGUAGUCGCUGGAAACUGGGUGGAAAUGAAAGCGCCAGGCCAGAACCGGUGGCUCAGAGGCAGCACCUCAGAGGCGGCCUGUUGCCUUAGCAACCGUGGAAGGCUGCAUAAUCAUUUCUGCGGGAGAUCUACCCAGGACUGAGUGGACCUGUUGGGUGGUAGGAGAGCUUUCUAGAAACCACCACAGCACCAGUCUUGAGAAAAGCAGAAGACAUCAUCCCUGGAGAGGCAAGG
Molecule: long non-coding RNA, 294 nt
Organism: Cervus elaphus (red deer)
Lineage: Eukaryota; Metazoa; Chordata; Mammalia; Artiodactyla; Cervidae
Exons: 3
Source: RefSeq, a predicted model, not a curated record